This 1037-nucleotide long non-coding RNA is filed under the name Capra hircus (goat). RNAcentral describes it as "lncRNA (ENSCHIG00000004914.1)". Lineage: Eukaryota; Metazoa; Chordata; Mammalia; Artiodactyla; Bovidae. The record is from RNAcentral.
UAGGGAGUGUCCCCACAGGGCCUGUCUGUAAUGCAGGGGACUCUCCAAGGGGUGAGGGGAGGUGGCCUGGCUGGGGGUCUGCAUGGCCUUCCUGAAGAAGCACCAAUUGAGGGUGCCAUAAAGGCGUCCCCUCCCUCGGUCUCCAGGUCCACGGGUCCCCAGGAGUGGGUCUCCUUAGCGCCUCCCUUGAAUCAAACCACCACCCUGUUCCCAAAGUCCUGGAAACACCACAAGCCCGUCACGAGGUUCCAGGAGGUGCCUAGCACCCACCUGCUCUGAGGCUGACACAGUCGGGUGGGAGGCUCUUGAUGGCUGGCAGGAAGAGAUCAGGGCUCAGUACCAUCAAGAGCUUCAGGUCACCCUGCAGAGGCAGCGCCAAGCCCGCCGGGGCCCCGGCGAAGGCUCAGCUGACGGGCCUGGAUCUGACGGAGCCACAGGCUGGGCAGAUGAGAGAAGAAAACUGAGAGUCACAGCAGGAUGUGGGAGGCCCAGCCCCACCCGGAGUGGGAGACGCCUUCCAGAGAGCCGCGCUCAGAGACAGGCAGCAGAAGCGAGUCAGGAGGCUUCAGCGGAAAACCUCGGUGUGGAGGGCGGGCCAGCGGGAAAGGGGACAAGCACACUCAGCCAGGAAGACCCUGCGUGUGAAGAGCAGACCCAGGGACCUUUCCAGGGCCGGCGGUCAGUCCAGGGGCAGGACCGGGACAAAGCGUUCGGCAUCUGAAGCACCAAACCCACUGUCCGCAGCGAAGCAGGAGGCGGUGUCCAGGCGCUUUGCUGGUGGAGGAUACCUGCCAUGUCCCCGGGAGAGGACGCUGUGCCGCGCAGCAGUAACACAACUCCCAGCCCACUUUGCCUCAACACUCUGCAGAUGCCAAGCCGCUGCCCAUCAGACAGGUGGCGCUAGCGGGCUCAGGGCCAGCCUGUCUGUCUCAGCUCUGGCAGGACCCUUCCCGUGGUUGAGACCCUGGCGGCAGAAGCACCGCAGAAGCCCACGGUCCCCUCCAAGAGAAUGGAAGGCCAUGACUGGGGGCUCCUGA